UACAGCCAUAUCAUGUUGAAUCACUGGUUCCCAUAUGAUCACUGAAGUUAAGCAAUGUUGAACUUGGACAGCACCUAGAUGGGUGACUGCUUGGGAAUACCAGGUGCUGUAAG
Molecule: non-coding RNA, 113 nt
Organism: Acanthosepion pharaonis
Lineage: Eukaryota; Metazoa; Mollusca; Cephalopoda; Sepiida; Sepiidae
Source: the annotation of a GenBank genome assembly